GGAUUGUAGCUUAGUGGUUGAGCGCUUGCCUUGCGUGUAUGAGGCACUGGGUUCAAUACUCAGCACCA
RNAcentral lists this transfer RNA (68 nucleotides) under Marmota monax (woodchuck). RNAcentral describes it as "tRNA.Ala". The stretch from base 5 to 65 matches the Rfam family "tRNA", at positions 6 to 65 of the family's 71-position model. From Rfam's summary of the family: Transfer RNA (tRNA) molecules are approximately 80 nucleotides in length. Their secondary structure includes four short double-helical elements and three loops (D, anti-codon, and T loops). Further hydrogen bonds mediate the characteristic L-shaped molecular structure. tRNAs have two regions of fundamental functional importance: the anti-codon, which is responsible for specific mRNA codon recognition, and the 3' end, to which the tRNAs corresponding amino acid is attached (by aminoacyl-tRNA synthetases). tRNAs cope with the degeneracy of the genetic code in two manners: having more than one tRNA (with a specific anti-codon) for a particular amino acid; and 'wobble' base-pairing, i.e. permitting non-standard base-pairing at the 3rd anti-codon position. The record is from RNAcentral. Lineage: Eukaryota; Metazoa; Chordata; Mammalia; Rodentia; Sciuridae.